This 252-nucleotide ribosomal RNA is filed under the name uncultured bacterium. RNAcentral's name for it is "partial 16S ribosomal RNA". It matches the Rfam family "Bacterial small subunit ribosomal RNA", at positions 524 to 776 of the family's 1533-position model. The record is from RNAcentral.
UACGGGGGGGGCAAGCGUUGUUCGGAAUUACUGGGCGUAAAGGGCUCGUAGGCGGCCAACUAAGUCAGACGUGAAAUCCCAGGCUCAACCUGGGAACUGCGUCUGAUACUGGAUGGCUUGAAUUCGGGAGAGGGAUGCAGAAUUCCAGGUGUAGCGGUGAAAUGCGUAGAUAUCUGGAGGAAUACCGGUGGCGAAGGCGGCAUCCUGGACCGACAUUGACGCUGAGGAGCGAAAGCUAGGGGAGCAAACGGG